This 136-nucleotide microRNA precursor is filed under the name Gossypium hirsutum (cotton). Its description in RNAcentral is "MIR7502 microRNA precursor family". It matches the Rfam family "MIR7502 microRNA precursor family". Lineage: Eukaryota; Viridiplantae; Streptophyta; Magnoliopsida; Malvales; Malvaceae. The record is from Rfam by way of RNAcentral.
UGUUAAAAAUUUCAUCAAUUUCUACUAUUAAAAACUGGUCCCUGUACAUCAGAAUGAGGUACACAUGGCACGCCUGUCUAAUUAUUCUGUUAGUCAUGCUAGCUUUUAACAGUAGAAAUGGAUGAAACUUUUAAUA